Molecule: long non-coding RNA, 3509 nt
Organism: Homo sapiens (human)
Lineage: Eukaryota; Metazoa; Chordata; Mammalia; Primates; Hominidae
Exons: 5
Source: RefSeq, marked validated
GCAGCUGCCGGACACCAGGAGACGAUGGAAGGUCUAUAGUGUUACAGCUCUGACCCAGGAAGUCCCAGGGUCUUGCCUUCCAGAAGGGUCGCGGCUCUUCCCUCCCUCAGUCCAACGAACAGGAGCACGUCACCUCCCGCAGCUCGGGGAGCUGGCCAGGAACGUGUUACAGCCCGUUUCGCUCCUGUCCGCAGCUGGGUGAGGCAGCCAGGAAAAUAUUACAGCUCUUCUCACGCCCGCCAUUCAGCAGGUCCUGACUUCUUGUGUGACAUCCAGAAGAAAGGGGUUACACAGACAGCUGGAGGGUGAGCAAAGUGGAGAAGUUCUCAGCAGAGAGGAGACUGGAGUGAGUUGCCCCUACCCGCAGGUGCCAACUGUAAUACAUCAGUAGCUGAACAGCUCAUUGCCCUCAAGUGUUCUUGCUCAUGCCUGGCUGAGUUAUUGAAGAAAUUGCUCAGAUCUCAAGCCCUUGUAGAUCACUGGUCCUGGCAGAUGUUAUGGGGAACUCGCUAUGUUGCCCAGGCUGGUCUUGAACUCAUGGUCUCAGGCAGUCCUCCUGCCUCAGCUUCCCAAAGUGCUGGAAUUACAGAUACGUGAACAGAAAAGCCUGAACUAGGGAACUGACCAUGAAACUAAAAAGGAGAAAGCAUAUGCAAGUGGACACAAUAAUGAAGAAUUCUACAAGAAAGUAGAAACAUGACAGAAAGAAGAGUACAGGAGAACGGGUGAAACUUGAAAACUGAUAGAAAUGAUAGAACAGGAUCUAUACUUCUGCAGGUCACUGAAGUGAAGAGUUUGAUGUUCUUCCUAGAUCUUCAUAGACGUAGAAUUGCCUGUGUAAUCUCCUUACCUCACUAGUCUGCCCUGUCUUCCUUCUUGCUAGAUGAGAAAUAAAGAAAACAAGAAAAGCAAGGGAAAGGAGAGAAAAAAGGAGGGAUACAGCAAGAGGGAGAAAGAAAAGGACGAGAAAAUAAAUUACUAAAGGGAGAAAAGAAAAAGAAAAAAGAAAAAGCAGAGAAGAAGUUAAUCCCCUGGUGAAUUUUUCACAGGCUAUCUGGAACUCAAAAGUUCAAUCUUUAUCCAUCUAUCACUAAGUCAACUUCUGGAACCUCUUCUUCUAGAACCAGUUAGGGAAGCCACUGAAGGAGGGUUAUAGGACAAAAUAUAUGUUGGUGUGAACUUUAAAAAAAGAAUUUGUGUUUAAGGAUGAAACUGUAAUGGUUUUGAAAUUGCACUAACCACAUUUGAUUUGAGCUGAAUCAAAAGUAGAAAAAUCAGCAAAUUCUACAUAAAAAACUAAGGAAGAGGAAGAAGAUCCAACUUAGAAAAUCCAGUGGAAUAAUAAUUCCAUUAGUAAGAUAACGAUACAGAGAGAUGAUGACACUGGAGUUUUCAGAGAGCAUUGAGGCAAUAUGUAGCUAUGGAAUUUGAAAAAAAAAAUGGUUCAUUUUUGGAAGAUUACUACAACAGUCAUGUUAGAUUAAUUGAAAUGAAGGUUGGUGUUAUAAGGCUUUAAAAAUAGUCCAACUGGAAAUACGAAAGCUUGAAAAGCAGCUUUGAAAAACAAAGACAGAGGGGAAAGGGAUGAAGAGAAAUACAACUGAGAUUUAAGAUAUAAAAUAACUGAAAUCUGGAACUAAUCAACUGUGAAAAUCAAGCAACGAGAAAGAGUUGUAAAUUAUUUUAAAAUAUCUGGCUCGAUCAACUUUGCCAGUUUUAGAGCCAGUCUUUGCAAAAAGGGAGAAACAAAACAGAUGAGACAAGAAAGGAACAUCCAGCAUGCUGUGAACCCCCUGAGACUGGCCAUGAUCUGAAAGAGUAAAGCUCUAUCCAGGGAACCUUUUCUGAAUCAUAGUGUCAGACUUCCUGCUCUUUUCAACUCCCCUGGUUUUAUCAUCUCUACUCUGUUUCAGCAAUCUACUGCCAUGGCCACAUCCUGAAUGUUGACAAUACCCUAAACUGUGCCAUUUAUAAGAUCUCUGACACACCAACCUCUCUCCUCUUACAGCUCUCAAUGAUGUAUAUGACCUCAGCUUAUUCUAAUAUGCUUACAGAUUAUACACCCGUGAUAUUGAUGGCAGUGGCUGCUGCUGUCGUGGCUGCUGCUAUCACGCCUGCUGCAACACAGAGGUGCGACUGGGGCUGCACAUUUCACGGAGGUGUUGGGAGUUCCGCCCCUUCUGAUGUGGGGAAAGAGAUCCCCAGGUGCCCCUGCAUCUGCCCAAACUGUGGCUGUGGAUCGGAGGCUCCAGGUUGGCAGGUUGGGAGCUUCCGGGUGCAGCUGCGACCGCCCUCCCAGGUGCAGGACCCUGGUGUUUCUGCAGCCUGCACCCUUGGGGGCCCCAGGAAAGACCCAUAUCCUUGCAGGCUUGGAGGUGUUUGCUUCUUCUGCCUGGCCUCUCUCGGCUCCCGGUGCAUGCUCUCAUAUCUGAGUGGGGGUUGGUGCUGAGCCCCGGGGCCGUGAAUUGCAGCAGGAGGCAGAUUUAUUCCUGGGCAGAAGGUGGCAGAUCCCAAGUAAGGGGACCUUCAAGCCAGGGAGGGCCUGAAGGCUGGUGGCUGGGCUACCAGUCCCACCGACCAGAGUGGGGAUUCGUGGGCCUCUUCUGGGCCACCCAUAGCCACCCAUGGACCAAUCAGCAAGCACAUCCUCCCCUCUGAGGUCCGUAAAAGCCCUGGGCGCAGCCUGAGCAGGGCAGAGGAAGGCCAGAGGUGAAGGAGUCAGAGAGGCGACAGGAUAGGCAGCUGCCGAGAGAAGUACGCCUCUCUGCUGAGACCUGGAGAUGACGGGAAGGCCAGAUGCAGAGAGGAGCUACCCUCUCUGCUUAGAGCUGCCAGGAGGAGCUACCAACCUUCUCUGCUGAGAGCUGCAGAGAUGACCUGCUGGCAGAGAGGAGCUACCCACUGCGGGUCUCCUCUGAUCUGUUGUAAUGCUGAAUAAAGCUUCUUUUCAUCUUGUUCACCUUCCACUUGUCUGCAUACCUCAUUCUACCCGGACGCAAGCAAGAACUCGAGCAAAGGCACAACCAGCCACAGAGGUUUCUGGCCAGAAAAUCGACACCCCAAAAGUCCUAUAACAAUCUGAUUCUAAAAGCAACAUCAUCUUUUCAAUGUAAUUCUAAAAGAAUUUGGGAUUAUUUUAUUUAAUUUCAGGAUCCCCUCUGAAGAAAAUCAACUUACAAAGGAUGGCAGGUCUUAAGAAAGGUACUUAGCAAGUGCUGGUACAUUCUAAGCAAUCAAUAUUUGUCAAUGUUCAGUAAUUGUACAAUUGUACUAGAGAAAACAAUUCCAGGGGCUUAAAAUUAUCUUAUACAAGGAUCCACUUUAUUAUUAUUUUUUCUGUUUGUUUUGGAUAAAUUACUGACUCCUUAUCUCAGUUAUGUUAUGUGUUAAAUGUUUACAGUGUUAUUUUGUAUCUCUCAAGGGCUUUUGUUAGAAUUUUCAAUGAGAUACCUUAAAACCUCUAAAAAGAAAAUGGAUGUUAUAAGUAAAUAAAAAUAAGUCUGAAUGGC